Molecule: non-coding RNA, 412 nt
Organism: Aegilops tauschii subsp. strangulata
Lineage: Eukaryota; Viridiplantae; Streptophyta; Magnoliopsida; Poales; Poaceae
Source: RefSeq, a predicted model, not a curated record
UCAGGUUGAUUGUGCUCCGGUGUGGUCAAUAACCUCUCGGAGUUGGUUUAGCGAUUGCUAAGGCGCAACGUCGUGCACGUUUGUAGUCGGAUCGUCAAAGUCUACUCCACCAAAUCGAUAGUUAUCAUCUCAUCGAAAGAUCGGGACACCCUCGCCUCUAUCAUGCUUAAAUGUUAAUUAUUUUACCAUCCUACGCAUAGCUUAUGAGCUAGAUUACUUUGUCCUGUAUUGUCAAGCACUUGGAGUCUGGAAACACGAUGUUUUCCUUCAUAUGGUGGAUCAUUGGAUUCUAUUGGGUAUCUGCAGGUGGUCAGGCUUUAUCACAAGAUGCUCCUCAACUUUACUGGCUCUCAAUUGUGUUUCUCGCAUUUGAUGUUUUCUUUGUGGUAUUUUGUGUUGGCCUUGCUUGUUU